CGUACAGGCUGCCGGGAAUACUGCAGAGCUAGGGAGUGGGAGAGGUAGACGGUACUCGGGAGGAAGUGGUAAAAUGCUUUGAUCUCUCGAUGACCACCUGUGGCGAAGGCGGUCUACCAGAACACGUCCGACGGUGAGGGAUGAAAGCUGGGGGAGCAAACCGGAUUAGAUACCCGGGUAGUCCCAGCUGUAAACUAUGCAAACUCAGUGAUGCAUUGGCUUGUGGCCAAUGCAGUGUUGCAGGGAAGCCGUUAAGUUUGCCGCCUGGGAAGUACGUACGCAAGUAUGAAACUUAAAGGAAUUGGCGGGGGAGCACCACAAGGGGUGAAGCCUGCGGUUCAAUUGGAGUCAACGCCAGAAAUCUUACCCGGAGAGACAGCAGAAUGAAGGUCAAGCUGAAGACUUUACCAGACAAGCUGAGAGGUGGUGCAUGGCCGCCGCCAGCUCGUGCCGUGAGAUGUCCUGUUAAGUCAGGUAACGAGCGAGAUCCCUGCCUCUAGUUGCCACCAUUACUCUCAGGAGUAGUGGGGCGAAUUAGCGGGACCGCCGCAGUUAAUGCGGAGGAAGGAAGGGGCCACG
RNAcentral lists this ribosomal RNA (579 nucleotides) under uncultured archaeon. RNAcentral's name for it is "bacterial SSU rRNA". It matches the Rfam family "Archaeal small subunit ribosomal RNA", at positions 563 to 1140 of the family's 1478-position model. The record is from RNAcentral.